GGGAGAUUGGUGGAAUUGGCAUACACGAAGGUCUCAAAAACCUUUGAGUUAAUUCUCGUAUGGGUUCAAGUCCCAUAUCUCCCACCA
RNAcentral lists this transfer RNA (87 nucleotides) under Lachnospiraceae bacterium. RNAcentral's name for it is "tRNA-Leu". It matches the Rfam family "tRNA". From Rfam's summary of the family: Transfer RNA (tRNA) molecules are approximately 80 nucleotides in length. Their secondary structure includes four short double-helical elements and three loops (D, anti-codon, and T loops). The record is from RNAcentral. Lineage: Bacteria; Bacillati; Bacillota; Clostridia; Lachnospirales; Lachnospiraceae.